This 486-nucleotide ribosomal RNA is filed under the name Lamyctes emarginatus. Its description in RNAcentral is "partial 16S ribosomal RNA". It matches the Rfam family "Bacterial large subunit ribosomal RNA", at positions 1817 to 2600 of the family's 2925-position model. The record is from RNAcentral. Lineage: Eukaryota; Metazoa; Arthropoda; Chilopoda; Lithobiomorpha; Henicopidae.
CGCUCUUUGUUUUAUUAUAAAGAGUAAGGUCUGCCCAAUGAGGAUUGAAUGGCCGCGGUAUUUUGACCGUGCGAAGGUAGCAUAAUCAUUAGUCUGUUAAUUGUAGGCUGGAAUGAAAGGCUAGAUGAGGGGGGGCUGUCUUUAUUAAUAAAAUGAAUUUUAGGUUUAUGUGAAGACGCAUAGAUGCUGUUAGGGGACGAGAAGACCCUAUUAAGCUUUAUAUUUAAGUUCUAGGUAAGAAUGUUAGGAAGAAGUAUUAUGUUGGGGCGACAGUAGAGGAAACGUCUAUUUGAAAAAGAUGAUAUAAUUAAAUGAUAUAUGAUCCAGAAUUUCUGAUUGGAAGAAUAAGUUACUAUAGGGAUAACAGCGUAAUCUUGCUGGAGAGUUCAUAUUGAUAGUAAGGAUUGCGACCUCGAUGUUGAAUUAGGAUACCCAGGGGGUGUAGCAGUUCUUUAGGGGGGUCUGUUCGACCAUUAAAUUCCUACA